RNAcentral lists this ribosomal RNA (253 nucleotides) under uncultured bacterium. RNAcentral's name for it is "partial 16S ribosomal RNA". It matches the Rfam family "Bacterial small subunit ribosomal RNA", at positions 524 to 776 of the family's 1533-position model. The record is from RNAcentral.
UACGGGGGGGGCAAGCGUUGUUCGGAUUCAUUGGGCGUAAAGGGUGCGUAGGUGGCGCUGUAAGUCGGGUGUGAAAUUUCGGAGCUUAACUCCGAAACUGCAUUCGAUACUGCGGUGCUUGAGGACUGGAGAGGAGACUGGAAUUCAUGGUGUAGCAGUGAAAUGCGUAGAGAUCAUGAGGAAGACCAGUGGCGAAGGCGGGUCUCUGGACAGUUCCUGACACUGAGGCACGAAGGCCAGGGGAGCAAACGGG